Molecule: transfer RNA, 72 nt
Filed under: Nomascus leucogenys (northern white-cheeked gibbon)
Lineage: Eukaryota; Metazoa; Chordata; Mammalia; Primates; Hylobatidae
Description: tRNA-Ala (AGC) (tRNA-Ala-AGC-4-1)
Rfam family: tRNA
About the family: Transfer RNA (tRNA) molecules are approximately 80 nucleotides in length.
Source: Rfam by way of RNAcentral
GGGGGUGUAGUUCAGUGGUAGAGCGCAUGCUUAGCAUGCAUGAGGCCCUGGGUUCGAUCCCCAGCACCUCCA